UACGGGGGGGGCAAGCGUUGUUCGGAAUUACUGGGCGUAAAGGGUGCGUAGGCGGCUUUCUAAGUCAGAUGUGAAAGCCCUGGGCUCAACCCAGGAACUGCAUUUGAAACUCCCUUUCUUGAGUGUCGGAGAGGAAAGCGGAAUUCCUGGUGUAGAGGUGAAAUUCGUAGAUAUCAGGAGGAACACCGGUGGCGAAGGCGGCUUUCUGGACGACAACUGACGCUGAGACGCGAAAGCGUGGGGAGCAAACAGG
Molecule: ribosomal RNA, 253 nt
Filed under: uncultured bacterium
Lineage: Bacteria
Description: partial 16S ribosomal RNA
Rfam family: Bacterial small subunit ribosomal RNA
Source: RNAcentral